GCUUCCGUAGCUCAGUGGAUUAGAGCGUCACGCUACGAACGUGAGGGUCGCAGGUUCGACUCCUGCCGGAAGUACCA
This 77-nucleotide transfer RNA is filed under the name Bacteroides acidifaciens. RNAcentral describes it as "tRNA-Arg". It matches the Rfam family "tRNA". From Rfam's summary of the family: Transfer RNA (tRNA) molecules are approximately 80 nucleotides in length. Their secondary structure includes four short double-helical elements and three loops (D, anti-codon, and T loops). Lineage: Bacteria; Pseudomonadati; Bacteroidota; Bacteroidia; Bacteroidales; Bacteroidaceae. RNAcentral also lists the same sequence under 3 other names. The record is from RNAcentral.